GCCGAAGUGGUGGAACUGGCAGACACGCACGACUCAAAAUCGUGUGGGAUUAUCCCAUGAGGGUUCGAUUCCCUCCUUCGGCACCA
RNAcentral lists this transfer RNA (86 nucleotides) under Bacillota bacterium. Its description in RNAcentral is "Firmicutes bacterium (anaerobic digester metagenome) tRNA-Leu". It matches the Rfam family "tRNA". Rfam says of the family: Transfer RNA (tRNA) molecules are approximately 80 nucleotides in length. Their secondary structure includes four short double-helical elements and three loops (D, anti-codon, and T loops). The record is from RNAcentral. Lineage: Bacteria; Bacillati; Bacillota.